RNAcentral lists this ribosomal RNA (435 nucleotides) under uncultured Dekkera. RNAcentral describes it as "eukaryotic LSU rRNA". It matches the Rfam family "Eukaryotic large subunit ribosomal RNA", at positions 130 to 569 of the family's 3401-position model. The record is from RNAcentral. Lineage: Eukaryota; Fungi; Ascomycota; Saccharomycetes; Saccharomycetales; Saccharomycetaceae.
UCGGGCAACCGAGUUGUAAUUUGGAGACGGGACACUAGAGAGGAGGAAGGCGAUUAAGUGCCUUGGAACAGGCUGCCGUAGAGGGUGAGAGCCCCGUGAAUCGCUGGAGACCGAUCAAUUAGUGCCCGCCGAAGAGUCGAGUUGUUUGGGAAUGCAGCUCUAAGCGGGUGGUAUAUUCCAUCUAAGGCUAAAUAUUAGCGAGAGACCGAUAGCAAACAAGUACAGUGAUGGAAAGAUGAAAAGAACUUUGGAAAGAGAGUGAAAUAGUACGUGAAAUUGUUGAAAGGGAAGGGUAUUUGAUCCGACAUGGUGUUUAGCAGCGGCCCGUUCCUCGUGGAUGGGUGCACCUGGUUUACACUGGGCCAGCAUCGGUUCUGGGAGCCAUAUACGGGGUUCGUGAAUGUGGCCCUUCGAUUCUGUCGGAGGGUGUUAUAG